AUCACAUUCGGCAGCUGCUC
RNAcentral lists this unclassified non-coding RNA (20 nucleotides) under Chlamydomonas reinhardtii. RNAcentral's name for it is "small RNA Cre_0676". Lineage: Eukaryota; Viridiplantae; Chlorophyta; Chlorophyceae; Chlamydomonadales; Chlamydomonadaceae. The record is from RNAcentral.